Long non-coding RNA from Lontra canadensis (Northern American river otter), 464 nucleotides. RefSeq lists it as uncharacterized. The transcript has 3 exons. The record is from RefSeq and is a predicted model, not a curated record. Lineage: Eukaryota; Metazoa; Chordata; Mammalia; Carnivora; Mustelidae.
UGUGUUGUUGGCAUCAACUUCCUAUGGUUGGGCAAUGGCUUCCGCCUUCCGGACCAGCUGACGUCAGCGGUCUGGAUUUCUGCCAGUGUUCUCCUGCCCAGGAAAUGGACUUCCGGCCAGGGCUCCCAGCUGUCUCUGUCUUCCUGGAGCAGCAGACCUCUCAAGUUGCAGUGAGAGACUGAAAAUCAGAUCUCGGGGAAAGUUUCACCAUGGAGAAGGAGAGAGAGCAGCGGAAGACACUAUGGAGAGAAAGCUGGGCACAAGGGCAAAGCAGCUGUGGGAGGACGACUGUCUGGUGGUCCUAAGUGUGAAGCUUGGCCCCUUGCCUGAAAAGAAGGUCUCUGCCUACUAGACGAUCUGCUGAGAACACAAAGCUGCUUCUUGAAGCUGGGUGGUUGGCUUUCCUCACCCGACCAGACCCAGCUGGGAGGCACCAUUCUAGCUAUGCUGCAGGAGGAUCUGCA